UACGAAGGGGGCUAGCGUUGUUCGGAAUUACUGGGCGUAAAGCGCGCGCAGGCGGUUUUUCAAGUCAGUGGUGAAAGCCCGGAGCUCAACUCCGGAACCGCCAUUGAAACUGUAAAACUUGAGGACGAGAGAGGUGAGUGGAAUUCCCAGUGUAGAGGUGAAAUUCGUAGAUAUUGGGAGGAACACCAGUGGCGAAGGCGGCUCACUGGACCGGAACUGACGCUGAGGCGCGAAAGCGUGGGGAGCAAACAGG
RNAcentral lists this ribosomal RNA (253 nucleotides) under uncultured bacterium. Its description in RNAcentral is "partial 16S ribosomal RNA". It matches the Rfam family "Bacterial small subunit ribosomal RNA", at positions 524 to 776 of the family's 1533-position model. The record is from RNAcentral.